AUCGUACUCUUUAUACAUGAUCGUUCGUAUUUCAAAGUGCUCAAUCGAAUCGGAUGACACACUGUAUUUUUUGUUCGUUUAUGUAUGAUCGAAUCGAGUUUCUUCGUCGCUGAAAUGAUCUCUGCUUUUUGUAUUUGGAUCUAUAUCGUUCAUAACAAGAUAACAUGUGAUCCAUAGAGAACCAAAGUUAUAUGAUCUUUGACCCUGAUGGGUUUCAAACUCUUUGUAGGUUAUUAUAAUCUGAGUUAAAAAGAAAAUGGGAGGAGGUAAAGACAAGCAUCAUGACGAGCAAGACAAAGGGUUUCAUGGGUUCCCAGGAGGUGGACAUCAUUACCCACCCGCUGGAUACCCUCCACAACAAGGGUAUCCUCCAGCUGGGGGCUAUCCACCAGCUGGUUACCCACCCGGUGCUUACCCUCCUGGACCUGGAGGUUAUCCUCCUGCUCCGGGUCACGGUGGCUAUCCUCCUGCAGGCUAUCCUGCUCCUCACCACUCAGGUAAAAAAACAAACAGUAUCCCUGUUGAAGUGCUCUCCUUUAUUGUUUGUAUCACGCUUUCCAAAUGCUGUGUCAAGUUUGGAAGGCUUAAUAAUUGGUGAGAUAGUUUAUAAAAUGUUGAUGUUUGAAUUGGCUACAGCAAAGGGUUGUCCUUGUAGUUUGCUAGAUCAUCGACCUGUCACGUUUGGAUGGUAUCAGGAACCAUAGCUUAUAGCUAGUAUAUGUUGCUGUUUUCUAUGCAAACCUUGUAAUUUGUUGUGUGUUUCAACCUGCUAGAUGUUGCAAUAAUGGUAAAAGUAUAGUAGUUUCUUAUAUGUUGCUAGUUUUAGAAACGACGUCGUUUUCAAAUGAUGUAAAAUUAAAAAUAUGUUUACCCCUGGAUUCGAACCCAGGUUGGUUGGUCAAAUGACAAGAUAUUUUACCACUAGGCUACUAGCACUUUCAAUGUAUUUACUAACAUGUUUACUUUUAUUUGGUACCUAUUAAAUAUAAAAAAUUCUCUAAAAACUUAAUAAGAUCUUUAAAAUUCCAAAAAAAUUUAAAAAAUAAAGAAGAUUUUUAUAAAAUUAAUUUAGAAAUUAAAAUUAAAAAUAAAAUUUUAUUUUUUCUUUUUAAAAAAUAAAAACUCUUCCAAAAUUUUUACAUAUUCUAAUUUCAAAUCAUGUAAACGACGUCGUUUCACUAAACGCCAACAAUAAACGACGACAAAUAUUUCUGUUAAAUUUAUUGACGGCGUGCUAAAUUGGCAAGUCAGCGAAAACAUUGUUAAUUAAUUUUAAAGCCAAUGAAAGUUUGGUGUUUUUUUGGUCAGCCUAAAAGUUCAUGUUUCUUUUGGCAAUUCGUGCAAAGUUGAGGUUUUUUUUUUUUUCAAAUUCUCAAUAAACAAGUUAUAAAGUAGAAGAUAAUUCUGAUUAGUGGAGGACUGUUUGGUAUUUUCUUCAUUUUAUUUAUUCUCCACCAAUAGUUUUGGAAGUUUGUCGAAUUAGAGGAUAAAGACUUUUUCGCCACUUAAAUAAAACUAUAUCACAGGAAAAGAUAUUUUCCUUUCCUUAAGCAUGUUCGUAGGACUCCGUGUCAAUUGCGCGUUGCCACGACGUAGACAUAUUAAUUUAUCACACUUCUCCUUUUAGUUUUACAUAUUCUCAUGUUAGCCCGUUUACUUUUGAAAGUUAAUUUAACACCCAAUUACAGCCACAAUCAACCCAAAAUAAACCAAACAAGAAAGAUCUUUCUACGCAUCACAACACUCAUACUUGAUCAAAUGAUUGUAUUGAAGAUUAACUUAUGGAUUUUGAGUUUAGACACGAUUGAAUCUGAAGACUAAAAGUGUUUCAAUUUUAUGAUUAGGGACUAAGAAGACAAUAAAAAUACUAUAUAGAAGAAAUACACUUAUUCAAAAAUGGUAACGCAUUAAAUUAAUAUCUUGACGCAGACGCGGCACGCCCAUCCUUAUAUACGGACAUAAGCGAUCACCUUCUUCUGUUCCAAUUCGUUCCGAAACAAUCUUCUCAAUUCCUUUCGGUAAAUAUUUUCUCAAUCAAUCGUACUCUUUAUACAUGAUCGUUCGUAUUUCAAAGUGCUCAAUCGAAUCGGAUGACACACUGUAUUUUUUGUUCGUUUAUGUAUGAUCGAAUCGAGUUUCUUCGUCGCUGAAAUGAUCUCUGCUUUUUGUAUUUGGAUCUAUAUCGUUCAUAACAAGAUAACAUGUGAUCCAUAGAGAACCAAAGUUAUAUGAUCUUUGACCCUGAUGGGUUUCAAACUCUUUGUAGGUUAUUAUAAUCUGAGUUAAAAAGAAAAUGGGAGGAGGUAAAGACAAGCAUCAUGACGAGCAAGACAAAGGGUUUCAUGGGUUCCCAGGAGGUGGACAUCAUUACCCACCCGCUGGAUACCCUCCACAACAAGGGUAUCCUCCAGCUGGGGGCUAUCCACCAGCUGGUUACCCACCCGGUGCUUACCCUCCUGGACCUGGAGGUUAUCCUCCUGCUCCGGGUCACGGUGGCUAUCCUCCUGCAGGCUAUCCUGCUCCUCACCACUCAGGUAAAAAAACAAACAGUAUCCCUGUUGAAGUGCUCUCCUUUAUUGUUUGUAUCACGCUUUCCAAAUGCUGUGUCAAGUUUGGAAGGCUUAAUAAUUGGUGAGAUAGUUUAUAAAAUGUUGAUGUUUGAAUUGGCUACAGCAAAGGGUUGUCCUUGUAGUUUGCUAGAUCAUCGACCUGUCACGUUUGGAUGGUAUCAGGAACCAUAGCUUAUAGCUAGUAUAUGUUGCUGUUUUCUAUGCAAACCUUGUAAUUUGUUGUGUGUUUCAACCUGCUAGAUGUUGCAAUAAUGGUAAAAGUAUAGUAGUUUCUUAUAUGUUGCUAGUUUUUUUCAUGCAAAUUCUAAGUUUGGUGAGUUCAGUUGUGAUAAUUUUGAACCUUUUAACAGGUUUAGUUUAUAUUGACUGUGAUUGUCAUAUGAACAAAGUUUAUGGUCUUCUUCUCUUUGCAUUUUGCUACUUUGCAUGUUCUCCAUUGUAAGUUUGUAACAAGUAACAACCUUUAUUUUCGUUUUGUUUCAUCAGGAC
This 3059-nucleotide long non-coding RNA is filed under the name Brassica napus (rape). RNAcentral's name for it is "long non-coding RNA (BNAP_LNC014399)". The record is from RNAcentral. Lineage: Eukaryota; Viridiplantae; Streptophyta; Magnoliopsida; Brassicales; Brassicaceae.